GAGGGUAUAUCUCAGUGGUAGAGUGCAUGCUUAGCAUGCACAAGGUCCUGGGUUCAAUCCCCAGUACCUCCA
This 72-nucleotide transfer RNA is filed under the name Camelus dromedarius (Arabian camel). It matches the Rfam family "tRNA". From Rfam's summary of the family: Transfer RNA (tRNA) molecules are approximately 80 nucleotides in length. Their secondary structure includes four short double-helical elements and three loops (D, anti-codon, and T loops). The record is from Rfam by way of RNAcentral. Lineage: Eukaryota; Metazoa; Chordata; Mammalia; Artiodactyla; Camelidae. RNAcentral also lists the same sequence under 1 other name.